This 253-nucleotide ribosomal RNA is filed under the name uncultured bacterium. RNAcentral describes it as "partial 16S ribosomal RNA". It matches the Rfam family "Bacterial small subunit ribosomal RNA", at positions 524 to 776 of the family's 1533-position model. The record is from RNAcentral.
UACGUAGGUGGCAAGCGUUAUCCGGAUUUACUGGGUGUAAAGGGCGUGUAGGCGGGAAAGCAAGCCAGAUGUGAAAACCAUGGGCUCAACCUGUGGCCUGCAUUUGAAACUGUUUUUCUUGAGUACUGGAGAGGCAGACGGAAUUCCUAGUGUAGCGGUGAAAUGCGUAGAUAUUAGGAGGAACACCAGUGGCGAAGGCGGUCUGCUGGACAGCAACUGACGCUGAGGCGCGAAAGCGUGGGGAGCAAACAGG